This 253-nucleotide ribosomal RNA is filed under the name uncultured Lachnospiraceae bacterium. RNAcentral's name for it is "partial 16S ribosomal RNA". It matches the Rfam family "Bacterial small subunit ribosomal RNA", at positions 524 to 776 of the family's 1533-position model. Lineage: Bacteria; Bacillati; Bacillota; Clostridia; Lachnospirales; Lachnospiraceae. The record is from RNAcentral.
UACGUAGGGGGCAAGCGUUAUCCGGAUUUACUGGGUGUAAAGGGAGCGUAGACGGCGCGGCAAGUCUGAAGUGAAAGGCAGGGGCUUAACCCCUGAACUGCUUUGGAAACUGCCAUGCUAGAGUGCUGGAGAGGUAAGUGGAAUUCCUAGUGUAGCGGUGAAAUGCGUAGAUAUCGAGAGGAACACUCGUGGCGAAGGCGGGUUCCUGGACAUUAACUGACGCUGAGGCACGAAGGCCAGGGGAGCGAAAGGG